UACGGGGGGGGCAAGCGUUGUUCGGAAUUACUGGGCGUAAAGGGCUCGUAGGCGGCCAACUAAGUCAGACGUGAAAUCCCUCGGCUUAACCGGGGAACUGCGUCUGAUACUGGAUGGCUGGAGUUUGGGAGAGGGAUGCGGAAUUCCAGGUGUAGCGGUGAAAUGCGUAGAUAUCUGGAGGAACACCGGUGGCGAAGGCGGCAUCCUGGACCAACACUGACGCUGAGUGAGCGAAAGCCAGGGGAGCAAACGGG
RNAcentral lists this ribosomal RNA (254 nucleotides) under uncultured bacterium. RNAcentral describes it as "partial 16S ribosomal RNA". It matches the Rfam family "Bacterial small subunit ribosomal RNA", at positions 524 to 776 of the family's 1533-position model. The record is from RNAcentral.